UAAAAUAAUAGAGAGCAUCGCAACUUGUUUGAAGUUUCUCGUCUAACCACUGAUAUAGUACCUGCGAUUCCCUCCAAUCACGAACUCGCACCGAUUCCUUUUUAAUCUGUUUAAUUCAUUUUUCGCCGUCUUUGUUUUAAUGUACCGUUAAAGAUAGUUUUUGCUUCCUUUGCAGGUUAAUUGCCUGUUAACUUCUAGCUCAGUGUCAUAUUUUGCCUCCAUUCACUUCUGAAUCCAUUGAUGAUGUAAUGGUGGACAUAUUGAAUAAACUUGCAUAUAUUCAAUUGGUUGUCACCUUUAUAUAAGCCAGAUGUCAUUCAUGAUUAUAAGAGGGUAUGUUGUGGUGGUCUCGGUUCACCUCUUUGAGUACUGUCUUCUGAAACUUGACCUGAGGAUGUGUGACCAGUAAAAUGAUACUUCAGACAUGUGUUCCCUGAUCCACAAACAAAGACUGGUACCUUACUCGAGUGAGAAAAUCAACAACAAACUCUUCUUCCCCACCUCUACAUGUCAUGUGAAGAAGAGCACAAAAUGCAGCCCUAUCAAAACAGUCCAGGUUAAAACAAAAAGUAGCUUGCAUCCUACUGUUAAUGUGAAGACAAGGGUCCCACGUAUCCCACAUGGCAAAGUCUCAACACGAGAGACCCC
Carassius auratus (goldfish) is the source of this 648-nucleotide long non-coding RNA. RefSeq lists it as uncharacterized. The transcript is spliced from 3 exons. NCBI's taxonomy places the organism in Eukaryota, Metazoa, Chordata, Actinopteri, Cypriniformes, Cyprinidae. The record is from RefSeq and is a predicted model, not a curated record.